CGCAACCUCAUGGUGCUUUGGAU
This 23-nucleotide small nuclear RNA is filed under the name Arabidopsis thaliana (thale cress). RNAcentral's name for it is "snRNA_09748". Lineage: Eukaryota; Viridiplantae; Streptophyta; Magnoliopsida; Brassicales; Brassicaceae. The record is from RNAcentral.